Molecule: non-coding RNA, 123 nt
Filed under: Syntrophaceticus schinkii
Lineage: Bacteria; Bacillati; Bacillota; Clostridia; Thermoanaerobacterales; Thermoanaerobacterales Family III. Incertae Sedis
Description: MoCo sequence
Rfam family: Molybdenum/Tungsten riboswitch aptamer (Moco RNA motif)
Source: RNAcentral
AACAAGAAUAAAUACUCCGAGUCCACUGUCCUGUGGCAAGUUGCUAUGGCGGUCGGAUCGAUAGGGUGUACCUGGAAACGGAUGCGCCUCCCAGUGCGGAAAGGAGAUUACGGCAAGGCUUGC